This 580-nucleotide ribosomal RNA is filed under the name Escherichia coli. RNAcentral describes it as "bacterial SSU rRNA". It matches the Rfam family "Bacterial small subunit ribosomal RNA", at positions 1 to 570 of the family's 1533-position model. The record is from RNAcentral. Lineage: Bacteria; Pseudomonadati; Pseudomonadota; Gammaproteobacteria; Enterobacterales; Enterobacteriaceae.
AAAUUGAAGAGUUUGAUCAUGGCUCAGAUUGAACGCUGGCGGCAGGCCUAACACAUGCAAGUCGAACGGUAACAGGAAACAGCUUGCUGUUUCGCUGACGAGUGGCGGACGGGUGAGUAAUGUCUGGGAAACUGCCCGAUGGAGGGGGAUAACUACUGGAAACGGUAGCUAAUACCGCAUAACGUCGCAAGACCAAAGAGGGGGACCUUCGGGCCUCUUGCCAUCGGAUGUGCCCAGAUGGGAUUAGCUAGUAGGUGGGGUAACGGCUCACCUAGGCGACGAUCCCUAGCUGGUCUGAGAGGAUGACCAGCCACACUGGAACUGAGACACGGUCCAGACUCCUACGGGAGGCAGCAGUGGGGAAUAUUGCACAAUGGGCGCAAGCCUGAUGCAGCCAUGCCGCGUGUAUGAAGAAGGCCUUCGGGUUGUAAAGUACUUUCAGCGGGGAGGAAGGGAGUAAAGUUAAUACCUUUGCUCAUUGACGUUACCCGCAGAAGAAGCACCGGCUAACUCCGUGCCAGCAGCCGCGGUAAUACGGAGGGUGCAAGCGUUAAUCGGAAUUACUGGGCGUAAAGCGCAC